UACGUAGGGUGCAAGCGUUGCCCGGAUUUAUUGGGCGUAAAGGGCGCGCAGGCGGCUACGCACGUCCGUUGUGAAAUCGCUCGGCUCAACUGGGCGGGGUCGGCGGAUACGGCGUAGCUGGAGCAAGCUAGGGGGCAAUGGAAUUCCCGGUGUAGUGGUGGAAUGCGUAGAUAUCGAGAGGAACACCAGUGGCGAAGGCGGUUGCCUGGAGCUUUGCUGACGCUGAGGCGCGAAAGCGUGGGGAGCGAUCCGG
RNAcentral lists this ribosomal RNA (253 nucleotides) under uncultured bacterium. Its description in RNAcentral is "partial 16S ribosomal RNA". It matches the Rfam family "Bacterial small subunit ribosomal RNA", at positions 524 to 776 of the family's 1533-position model. The record is from RNAcentral.